This 468-nucleotide unclassified non-coding RNA is filed under the name Hevea brasiliensis (rubber tree). The record is from RNAcentral. Lineage: Eukaryota; Viridiplantae; Streptophyta; Magnoliopsida; Malpighiales; Euphorbiaceae.
AAGCAAGUUGAAUAUCUCAGUCACAUCUAUCAGAUGCUGUCUUCGUGUGUAAAGCCUCAAAUUGUAGUGAAGGUAUGGAACACACAAUAGUGACAUACACCAGUGCCCUGUUAGGAGAUAAAAGAUGCAUAAAACUCCUUCAGCUAUAUACUCUGGCAAUAUCACUUUGUUUAUCCGAGAUGAGGAGUCAUAAGGAUUGAUAUAAUCAAACUCCAGAUCUGCCAAGCACAUAAGCUGGAAUACGAUGAUGACGAGUAGGGCUACAAGGAAGAAGAAGGAUAAGAGCCAGACAUACAGAUCCCCCAUGCUCCUUGCCCUAUUCUAUCUCCCUCUCCGUUUCACUCUCUCUCUUCUGUCUCUAAUUUCUCCUCCAAUAUUGCUGGUUUGACAGAACGGAGCAUGAGAGCAACUCUCUACCGCCUAGUGCGUAAAGUGCAAUCGCCUCAGUUUUACCUGAUGACUUUUCUU